This 253-nucleotide ribosomal RNA is filed under the name uncultured bacterium. RNAcentral describes it as "partial 16S ribosomal RNA". It matches the Rfam family "Bacterial small subunit ribosomal RNA", at positions 524 to 776 of the family's 1533-position model. The record is from RNAcentral.
UACGUAGGGCGCGAGCGUUGUCCGGAAUUAUUGGGCGUAAAGGGCUCGUAGGCGGUCUGUCGCGUCGGGAGUGAAAACUCAGGGCUUAACCCUGAGCCUGCUUCCGAUACGGGCAGACUAGAGGUAUGCAGGGGAGAACGGAAUUCCUGGUGUAGCGGUGGAAUGCGCAGAUAUCAGGAAGAACACCGGUGGCGAAGGCGGCUAUCUGGACCGACAUUGACGCUGAGGCGCGAAAGCGUGGGGAGCAAACAGG